GAAUGUGCUAGCUACCCUGAACAAGCCCCAUCCCUUCUGAUCUUGGAAACUAAGCAGGAUCGGGUCUGGUUAGUACUUAGGUGGGAGACCACCUAGGGAAGACCAAGUGCUGUAGGCA
This 118-nucleotide ribosomal RNA is filed under the name Pteropus alecto (black flying fox). The record is from RNAcentral. Lineage: Eukaryota; Metazoa; Chordata; Mammalia; Chiroptera; Pteropodidae.